GACGAACGCUGGCGGCGUGCUUAACACAUGCAAGUCGAACGGAAAGGCCCUGCUUUUGUGGGGUGCUCGAGUGGCGAACGGGUGAGUAACACGUGAGUAACCUGCCCUUGACUUUGGGAUAACUUCAGGAAACUGGGGCUAAUACCGGAUAGGAGCUCCUGCCGCAUGGUGGGGGUUGGAAAGUUUCGGCGGUUGGGGAUGGACUCGCGGCUUAUCAGCUUGUUGGUGGGGUAGUGGCUUACCAAGGCUUUGACGGGUAGCCGGCCUGAGAGGGUGACCGGCCACAUUGGGACUGAGAUACGGCCCAGACUCCUACGGGAGGCAGCAGUGGGGAAUAUUGCACAAUGGGCGGAAGCCUGAUGCAGCAACGCCGCGUGCGGGAUGACGGCCUUCGGGUUGUAAACCGCUUUCGCCUGUGACGAAGCGAGAGUGACGGUAAUGGGUAAAGAAGCACCGGCUAACUACGUG
RNAcentral lists this ribosomal RNA (468 nucleotides) under uncultured bacterium. Its description in RNAcentral is "partial 16S ribosomal RNA". It matches the Rfam family "Bacterial small subunit ribosomal RNA", at positions 28 to 507 of the family's 1533-position model. The record is from RNAcentral.